CAUCGUAACAUUGUUGCCGAAGUUCGGUUGUAGCUUCUGCUUUUUCCGAGCCUUCAACGGACUGUAUUUCCUUUCCUUCAACACAAUCUCCUUCGACGUAUUCGGAAUAUUCCGGUUGUGGGUUUAGAAGCCGUAGACAUCUUUAUCCAUACCUACCGGCACCGUCACAGACCCGCGAUGGAAGAGAUGUGUGUGGUUGUUUCACGGUUGAGGGCGAGCGGAAACGAGAGUAAGUUUAUGCCG
This 243-nucleotide long non-coding RNA is filed under the name Lathyrus oleraceus (garden pea). Its description in RNAcentral is "Pisum sativum (pea) long non-coding RNA (PSAT_LNC020088)". Lineage: Eukaryota; Viridiplantae; Streptophyta; Magnoliopsida; Fabales; Fabaceae. The record is from RNAcentral.